RNAcentral lists this transfer RNA (61 nucleotides) under Passalidae sp. GENSP01. RNAcentral describes it as "tRNA-Pro". Lineage: Eukaryota; Metazoa; Arthropoda; Insecta; Coleoptera; Passalidae. The record is from RNAcentral.
CAGAGAAUAGUUUAUUUAAAAUAUUAAUUUUGGAGAUUAAAGAUAUUAUUUGUUUUUCUGA